This 253-nucleotide ribosomal RNA is filed under the name uncultured bacterium. Its description in RNAcentral is "partial 16S ribosomal RNA". It matches the Rfam family "Bacterial small subunit ribosomal RNA", at positions 524 to 776 of the family's 1533-position model. The record is from RNAcentral.
UACGGAGGGUGCAAGCGUUAUCCGGAUUCACUGGGUUUAAAGGGUGCGUAGGUGGGUUGGUAAGUCAGUGGUGAAAUCUCCGUGCUUAACAUGGAAACUGCCAUUGAUACUACUGGUCUUGAAUUUUCUAGAGGUAAGCGGAAUAUGUCAUGUAGCGGUGAAAUGCUUAGAUAUGACAUAGAACACCAAUUGCGAAGGCAGCUUACUACAGGGACAUUGACACUGAGGCACGAAAGCGUGGGGAUCAAACAGG